Molecule: ribosomal RNA, 449 nt
Filed under: uncultured bacterium
Lineage: Bacteria
Description: partial 16S ribosomal RNA
Rfam family: Bacterial small subunit ribosomal RNA
Source: RNAcentral
AACGAACGCUGGCGGCAUGCCUAACACAUGCAAGUCGAACGAGACCUUCGGGUCUAGUGGCGGACGAGUGAGUAACGCGUGGGAACCUGCACUUCAGUGGGGGAUAACGACGGGAAACUGUCGCUAAUACCGCAUACGCCCUACGGGGGAAAGAUUUAUCGCUGAAGGAUGGGCCCGCGUCGGAUUAGCUAGUUGGUGAGGUAAUGGCUCACCAAGGCGACGAUCCGUAGCUGGUCUAAGAGGAUGAUCAGCCACACUGGGACUGAGACACGGUCCAGACUCCUACGGGAGGCAGCAGUGGGGAAUAUUGGACAAUGGGGGAAACCCUGAUCCAGCAAUGCCGCGUGAGUGAUGAAGGCCUUAGGGUUGUAAAGCUCUUUCGGUGGUGACGAUGAUGACGGUAACCACAGAAGAAGCCCCGGCUAACUUCGUGCCAGCAGCCGCCGUAA